GCGGCUAUGGUGUAGUGGUAGUCACAGGAGCUUGUGGAGCUCUUAGCACGGGUUCGAUCCCCGUUAGCCGCC
Molecule: transfer RNA, 72 nt
Filed under: Candidatus Sungbacteria bacterium RIFCSPHIGHO2_02_FULL_52_23
Lineage: Bacteria; Candidatus Sungiibacteriota
Description: tRNA-His
Rfam family: tRNA
About the family: Transfer RNA (tRNA) molecules are approximately 80 nucleotides in length.
Source: RNAcentral